This 427-nucleotide ribosomal RNA is filed under the name uncultured bacterium. RNAcentral describes it as "bacterial SSU rRNA". It matches the Rfam family "Bacterial small subunit ribosomal RNA", at positions 917 to 1344 of the family's 1533-position model. The record is from RNAcentral.
GGGCCCGCACAAGCGGUGGAGCAUGUGGUUUAAUUCGAUGCAACGCGAAGAACCUUACCUACCCUUGACAUCCUGCGAAUCUGAUAGAGAUAUCGGAGUGCCUUCGGGAAUGCAGAGACAGGUGCUGCAUGGCUGUCGUCAGCUCGUGUUGUGAAAUGUUGGGUUAAGUCCCGUAACGAGCGCAACCCUUGUCCUUAGUUGCCAGCGAUUCGGUCGGGGACUCUAAGGAGACUGCCGGUGACAAACCGGAGGAAGGUGGGGACGACGUCAAGUCAUCAUGGCCCUUACGGGUAGGGCUACACACGUGCUACAAUGGUUGGUACAGAGGGAAGCGAGACCGCGAGGUGGAGCAAAUCUCAGAAAGCCAAUCGUAGUCCGGAUUGCAGUCUGAAACUCGACUGCAUGAAGUCGGAAUCGCUAGUAAUCG